UUUGACAUGGUGCCCGUACCCCAAACCAACACAGGUGGACAGGUAGAGCAUACCAAGGCGAGUGGGGUAACUAUGGUUAAGGAACUCGGCAAAUUGCCUCCGUAACUUCGGGAGAAGGAGGACCCCAGUAGCGUGAUGAGACUUGCUCUCUGAGCGUGAAGGGGUGGCACAAAAUUGAGGGAAGCGACUGUUUACCAAAAACACAGCGGCGUGCUAAGCCGUAAGGCGCUGUAUACGCUGUGACUCCUGCCCGGUGCUGGAAGGUUACGGGGAUGGGUUAGUCCUUCGGGACGAAGCUCUGAACCUAAGCCCCAGUAAACGGCGGCCGUAACUAUAACGGUCCUAAGGUAGCGAAAUUCCUUGUCGGGUAAGUUCCGACCUGCACGAAUGGAGUAACGACUUCCCUACUGUCUCAACCAUAGACCCAGCGAAAUUGAAGUACGAGUAAAGAUGCUCGUUAGCUGCAGAAGGACGGAAAGACCCCGUGGACCUUUACUAUAACUUGAUGUUGUGUUUUGUCAUAUGUUGUGUAGGAUAGGUGGGAGACUUGGAAGCAUGGACGCUAGUCUGUGUGGAGUCAUCGUUGAAAUACCACCCUGCAUAUGGUGAGGCUCUAACCUAGACCCGUUAUCCGGGUUGGGGACAGCGUCAGGCGGGUAGUUUAACUGGGGCGGUUGCCUCUAAAGAGUAACGGAGGCGCCCAAAGGUUCCCUCAGCCUGGUUGGCAAUCAGGCGUUGAGUGCAAUGGCAAAAGGGAGCUUGACUGCGAGACCUACAAGUCGAGCAGGAGCGAAAGCUGGGCAUAGUGAUCCGGCGGUUGCGUGUGGAAGCGCCGUCGCCCAACGGAUAAAAGGUACCCCGGGGAUAACAGGCUAAUCUUGCCCAAGCGUCCAUAGCGACGGCAAGGUUUGGCACCUCGAUGUCGGCUCAUCGCAUCCUGGGGCUGAAGCAGGUCCCAAGGGUUGGGCUGUUCGCCCAUUAAAGCGGUACGCGAGCUGGGUUCAGAACGUCGUGAGACAGUUCGGUCCCUAUCCUCUGCAGCCGGAGGUGAAUUGAGGAAAGCUGUCCCUAGUACGAGAGGACCGGGACGGACGCAGCUCUCGUGUGCCAGUUGUCCUGCCAAGGGCAUGGCUGGUUAGCGACCUGCGGAAAGGAUAACCGCUGAAAGCAUCUAAGCGGGAAGCCUCUUCCAAGAUGAAUUCACCCACAGGGUUAACCUGGUAAGGCCCGUGGUAGACCACCACGUUGAUAGGCCGGAAGUGUAAGCGUGGCAACACGUUCAGCUGACCGGUACUAAUCGGCCGAGGGCUUGAGUUC
Molecule: ribosomal RNA, 1317 nt
Filed under: metagenome
Description: bacterial LSU rRNA
Rfam family: Bacterial large subunit ribosomal RNA
Source: RNAcentral